AUAAUGGGUCAGCGACUUAUAUUCUGUAGCAAGGUUAACCGAAUAGGGGAGCCGAAGGGAAACCGAGUCUUAACUGGGCGUUAAGUUGCAGGGUAUAGACCCGAAACCCGGUGAUCUAGCCAUGGGCAGGUUGAAGGUUGGGUAACACUAACUGGAGGACCGAACCGACUAAUGUUGAAAAAUUAGCGGAUGACUUGUGGCUGGGGGUGAAAGGCCAAUCAAACCGGGAGAUAGCUGGUUCUCCCCGAAAGCUAUUUAGGUAGCGCCUCGUGAAUUCAUCUCCGGGGGUAGAGCACUGUUUCGGCAAGGGGGUCAUCCCGACUUACCAACCCGAUGCAAACUGCGAAUACCGGAGAAUGUUAUCACGGGAGACACACGGCGGGUGCUAACGUCCGUCGUGAAGAGGGAAACAACCCAGACCGCCAGCUAAGGUCCCAAAGUCAUGGUUAAGUGGGAAACGAUGUGGGAAGGCCCAGACAGCCAGGAUGUUGGCUUAGAAGCAGCCAUCAUUUAAAGAAAGCGUAAUAGCUCACUGGUCGAGUCGGCCUGCGCGGAAGAUGUAACGGGGCUAAACCAUGCACCGAAGCUGCGGCAGCGACGCUUAUGCGUUGUUGGGUAGGGGAGCGUUCUGUAAGCCUGUGAAGGUGUACUGUGAGGUAUGCUGGAGGUAUCAGAAGUGCGAAUGCUGACAUAAGUAACGAUAAAGCGGGUGAAAAGCCCGCUCGCCGGAAGACCAAGGGUUCCUGUCCAACGUUAAUCGGGGCAGGGUGAGUCGACCCCUAAGGCGAGGCCGAAAGGCGUAGUCGAUGGGAAACAGGUUAAUAUUCCUGUACUUGGUGUUACUGCGAAGGGGGGACGGAGAAGGCUAUGUUGGCCGGGCGACGGUUGUCCCGGUUUAAGCGUGUAGGCUGGUUUUCCAGGCAAAUCCGGAAAAUCAAGGCUGAGGCGUGAUGACGAGGCACUACGGUGCUGAAGCAACAAAUGCCCUGCUUCCAGGAAAAGCCUCUAAGCAUCAGGUAACAUCAAAUCGUACCCCAAACCGACACAGGUGGUCAGGUAGAGAAUACCAAGGCGCUUGAGAGAACUCGGGUGAAGGAACUAGGCAAAAUGGUGCCGUAAC
This 1120-nucleotide ribosomal RNA is filed under the name Escherichia coli. RNAcentral describes it as "partial 23S ribosomal RNA". It matches the Rfam family "Bacterial large subunit ribosomal RNA", at positions 612 to 1734 of the family's 2925-position model. The record is from RNAcentral. Lineage: Bacteria; Pseudomonadati; Pseudomonadota; Gammaproteobacteria; Enterobacterales; Enterobacteriaceae.